This 837-nucleotide ribosomal RNA is filed under the name uncultured Bacteroidota bacterium. Its description in RNAcentral is "bacterial SSU rRNA". It matches the Rfam family "Bacterial small subunit ribosomal RNA", at positions 39 to 875 of the family's 1533-position model. Lineage: Bacteria; Pseudomonadati; Bacteroidota. The record is from RNAcentral.
GCGGCAGGCUUAACACAUGCAAGUCGAGGGGUAACAUAGGAAGCUUGCUUUCUGAUGACGACCGGCGCACGGGUGCGUAACGCGUAUACAAUCUACCUUAUACUGGGGUAUAGCCUUUAGAAAUGAAGAUUAACCCCCCAUAGUCUCUUAGAGUGGCAUCACUUCUAGAGUAAAGGUUACGGUAUAAGAUGAGUAUGCGUUCUAUUAGUUUGUUGGUGUGGUAACGGCACACCAAGACUACGAUAGAUAGGGGCCCUGAGAGGGGGAUCCCCCACACUGGUACUGAGACACGGACCAGACUCCUACGGGAGGCAGCAGUGAGGAAUAUUGGACAAUGGAGGCAACUCUGAUCCAGCCAUGCCGCGUGUAGGAUGACUGCCCUAUGGGUUGUAAACUACUUUUAUACAGGAAGAAACACCUCUACGUGUAGAGGCUUGACGGUACUGUAAGAAUAAGGAUCGGCUAACUCCGUGCCAGCAGCCGCGGUAAUACGGAGGAUCCAAGCGUUAUCCGGAAUCAUUGGGUUUAAAGGGUCCGUAGGUUGAUAAUUAAGUCAGAGGUGAAAUCUUGCAGCUCAACUGUAAAAUUGCCUUUGAUACUGGUUAUCUUGAGUUAUUAUGAAGUAGUUAGAAUAUGUAGUGUAGCGGUGAAAUGCAUAGAUAUUACAUAGAAUACCAAUUGCGAAGGCAGAUUACUAAUAAUCAACUGACACUGAUGGACGAAAGCGUGGGUAGCGAACAGGAUUAGAUACCCUGGUAGUCCACGCCGUAAACGAUGGUUACUAGCUGUUUGGACUUCGGUCUGAGUGGCUAAGCGAAAGUGAUAAGUACCCACCUG